RNAcentral lists this ribosomal RNA (95 nucleotides) under Artemisia annua (sweet wormwood). Its description in RNAcentral is "partial 5.8S ribosomal RNA". It matches the Rfam family "5.8S ribosomal RNA", at positions 62 to 154 of the family's 154-position model. Rfam says of the family: 5.8S ribosomal RNA (5.8S rRNA) is a component of the large subunit of the eukaryotic ribosome. It is transcribed by RNA polymerase I as part of the 45S precursor that also contains 18S and 28S rRNA. Lineage: Eukaryota; Viridiplantae; Streptophyta; Magnoliopsida; Asterales; Asteraceae. The record is from RNAcentral.
UUCGGGUGAAUUGCAGAAUCCCGUGAACCAUCGAGUUUUUGAACGCAAGUUGCGCCCGAAGCCUUUUGGCCGAGGGCACGUCUGCCUGGGCGUCA